GCCUGGUUGAAUCAGUUGGUGGAGCAUGUGACUCUUGAUCUCAGGGUUGUGAGUUCAAGCCCCAUACUGGGCA
Molecule: transfer RNA, 73 nt
Filed under: Canis lupus familiaris (dog)
Lineage: Eukaryota; Metazoa; Chordata; Mammalia; Carnivora; Canidae
Rfam family: tRNA
About the family: Transfer RNA (tRNA) molecules are approximately 80 nucleotides in length. Their secondary structure includes four short double-helical elements and three loops (D, anti-codon, and T loops).
Source: Rfam by way of RNAcentral